GAGAAGGAUUGGGAACAGAUGUUAGCUCAGCACCAAUCUUCCUCACCAAAAAAAAAAAAAGUCUUACUAAAGAAAAGUUCAUGCAACCUGUACAAAGCAUGAUGGGAUGACAUGCAGAGGGAGUUUUUACAGUGAAUUCAUUAUAUUUACAUAGCACUUAUUAUUUACAAAGUUAUUUAUGUCCAGUGUUUCAUUACUCAUCAGAAUAUCUCGAUUGUGCAAAUAUUAUCUACAUUGAUCAGAUGAUAACCCUAUGGCCCAGAGAGGCUAACAGUUGCUCGUUAAAUGGUGAAUUUGAAAAAAGCAUCCAGCUCUCCUGACCUCUUAUCGAAUUUUCUUUUCACUACCACACUGAGGGAGGGGAUCAUUAACUCAGAUUCUGGAGGCUCUCACGCUGGCAUGAACCCUUGAUCAUAAUUGACCUAAAUUAUUCUGAUCUACAACUGUUUAAAUUAAAAUUCAACAAAUAAUUGCUCAACUUCAUUUUAUGCUGACUACAGAGAGCUGCCCUUGGAGGGCCUGCAAAGGGAAUCUAUUACCCAGAAAAUAAAGCAAAGCUUUUAUUGAAUUGAAUUAAAGUGAUUCAUUUCUUUUUUCUUCUUUAAAGAUCUUUUCAUCGAUUGUUAGUUAAAAAAAAAUCCCUUAGGAAAUUCUUUAUAAAUGAAUAAGGUUGAUUUUGUGAUAAAACUAAGUUCUGCUACUUUACUUUUUCCCUCCCUUGGAGUGCUUGGAACUUUCUCCUCUUUACGUCGGCCUUCACGUCUUCUGCACACCCAUUAUCCCGAGUAGCUUUUCUUCCUUUUUUCCACGCUUUAAUCUCUUUUCUGCUCACUCAAGAUAGGCGUGCUGUAAAGGUACAUUUCACCCUUGUGGUGGGGUACUUAAAAGUCAAAAUGUAAAGAACAGAGUGAUGUAUUUACCAUUCUUCCGGAAUUGAUGCUGCUUCUGGAAGCAUAUAUCGAACUGAGAAAAUUUUUAUUUUUGUGAAAUUUUUAAUCAGUCCCUUCAUGCUCUUGACCAAAACCUUUUGAGAUUUUACUAAGUGUGGAGACCGGUCCUAAGUGCUGGGAAUUCAAAGAUGGUUAAGACCCAGGCCUUGAUCUUAAGAAGGCUGGAGUUGAAUAUAAUCUCCUAGUUGUUUAUUUUUGGCCUGUUUCCAGAUUUUUCACGAAAUUUUGCAUAGGUCUUUGAGUGAACCAUCAUUCUGUGCCUCUGACAUGCCAUACAGCGCAUUCGCUGGACGCGUUAAAUGGAAGGGAAGGGAUGGCUUCGAUAGUCAUAUCACUAAGCCUUCUCGGGUAAUAAAAUCAGCCUUAAAGAAGACGUGAUUGGUUACACUGCUUCAGGAUUGUCAAAUGUGGAAGAGUUAGAAUUUGGAGAGCCAUAAUGAGCUAUGUAUUAAAGGAAAGUUACAACUCAUUUUCUGACAUUCAGUCCGAUUGGUUUAAAUUCCUAUUUUUUUCUUUUUUCGAAAUUGGUUUGAAUUUCCUAGCCACUAUCGCUACAAGACCUGUCUUUUCUUAGUUCAGAGGGAUAAUAUUUUGCAGAGAUUUAUAUACAGCAUUUCAUACACAUAUCAAUACUAAGGUUUGUCUUCAUAAGCAUUUUUUUAAGUCAGCUGAUUAAAUAUUAAGGUUUUGUCUAGUUGUGAAGUAAGAUUUUUUCCAAGAUUUCCAAAUCAUGGUUACUGAAAACAGUGAAACCCUAUAUUUCAUUGGCAAAGAGCUAUAGGGACUUGAACCUUUAAUCAAGAAUUGCUAAAUGCUUCAGUUUCUAAAUUGUUUAUGAGUUAACCAGGACUCUCCACCCAAAUCUGUUCUGCCUGAGUGUAAGGGCUGGUUCUCUGCUUACAGUACCCUAGACAGUACAGCUCUUCUAUGGUUCACGCGUGACUGAAGUCGAGAUGAGAUGAGUGUGAUCUGAUCAUGUAUAGAAAUGCUUGAACAUUGUUGGCAUGGAUCCACUCAAAGUUACUGGGUUUUCACUUGGGGAGGAGUGUGGAAAUGUGUUUUAAAUGACAUUCUAUCUUCUCUUCUGCUUGUCUCUUAAAAGCCCCGCCUGUCUCUUUCAGCCAGUGUAACACAAAAAGUCUUCCAGGAGGGCAGGCCGACAAGCACAGGCUUUGAUUCACAGCCAGCUUUGUUCCAACACAGUUGUAUGAGUGCCACAUCCAUGAAACUAAUGCCCCUUUUCUGGCCCUACUACAGAAGUCCAAGUUUCCUUUCCAGACGGCUGUGCAGCUUGAGUGCCGCCAGUAGGCUAGAGUCCUUAUCCACCCAACAAAAGAGAUGUCUGCUUCACUCUGGAAUAUUAGUGUGGCAUUUCUAAUAAAGACAAUGUGGGGAAUCAUGCAGCUGGAGAUAUAUAUGUAGAAGGCAAUAUUGUUAGGUAAAUAUAGGUAUGGAACUUUUUUUCUUGGCCGCCUAUCCUAAGAAAUGAUAUAUCGUAUCACUAAUGUCAGGAGAAUACAUCUUUUUAAUUUAAGCAUUCAGUCAGUUAUUAAAAAAUCAUUUUUUGAGUGCCAUUCACUGAGUUUGUCUGUGUGCUAGGUGCUGGGGAUAUGGAAACAAAUAGGACAUGCUUCAUUGCCAAAGGCCAUACACUCAUAAGCAAUUAAUUAUGAGACAGACGAGAAGGUGCGCCUGAAGAUAACAAAAGAGGCAAGAGUAAACUAACGUGGCCCUGGGGGAGAGGAAACCGUAGAAGCAAGGAAGCCUCCCCAGAGGAGGGGGUUCAGGCUGAACAUGUGGGGUUUGGAGUUUAUUUGUUUGUUCCUAUUUCUUAUUGUCUCCUAAAGUGAAUGAAAUUUAUCUUACUCAACGUAACAUUCAUAGUUUUAAUUUUACAUAAAUGAUCUCUCUUAAUUCCCAUGACAAAUGUGUGUUACUCCUUUUUACAUAGGAGAAAGUUGAGCCUUAGAGUUUGACUUACUCGGUAAUUGGUAAUUGGAGAAACUGGAGCUAAAAAUACUCCCUUGGCACCAAUUCCCUUGCUUUUUUCAUCAACGCACUGCCUCGAUUUGAUGGUAUUUUGGCUUCAUAGCCAUAAUAUUUCAUCACUUGAAGUCAGCUCACAAUUGAUUAUCCAUUUUGAUUUUGAUUGACCCAAAUGCUAAGGAAUUUCUCCUUGCUUUUGAUUGCAAGUAUUAGAGGAACAAAGAAAAAUUAUACAAGUAAUCAUGUUUAUUGAGGAAUUAUUAAAUGCCAGGUACGGCAUUUGUACUUGAGUGGUUUAGCUCACAAUAAUCUUAUGAUGCAGCUACUCUGUUUUUGUUUUACAGAUGAACAAACAGAAUCUUAGAGCAAUGAGGAAACUUAGCCGAAGUUGCCAGUUAGCGUGUAGAAGAGAUUGAUUUAGUCUUGGCAGUCUGAUUCCAGAGCUCAGGAACCUCAUCAGUCUGUUCUAAUAUCUGAUGAGGCACAAGUUUAGUCCACCCUAUCAUAGUUCAAGAAUUAAUGAAAUAGAUGAUCCAAACUCUCGAAGACCCUCUCCAGAGUUUUAACAAUGUAAGAUUAUUCUACUGUAUAAGUGAGGGAAAAGUAGACAACAUGUGGUAUUGGGACACCUGCACUGUGCCUUUUCCCAAUUCACUACUUUAUAUCUGCUUCCUUUUAAAACACAGCCUCAUGUAACUGCUUCAUAUUUAUGUAUGGCAUAUUUGCAUAUUAAUGAUGGCUCUCUAGACAGCAAAGCCGGCAUAUACAGGGUGUGUUGGAUGCUGUCACGUCCCUUUUGCCCACACUGUCAGAGAAGUGCUUUCCAAAAAAUAUAGUAAUGCCCUGUUCCUCUCACUUUGGCUCGCCUUCUAAAUUUGGCCAAGAAGUAAGGAAAUCUAUCUCUUCAACAGAUUCAGAUUUGUUUGUAUUUCUAUACCUUAGAAGGGCUUCUGAAUUUUUCUCUUCAAAUCAUUUAGGUAAAGGAGGAGCCAAGGUGGGAGAGUGAACAAAAGCAGGAGAGAACAUAAAUUCCAGGUGGCUGUGAAUUGGCAUGCCUCUUUUGUUCGUGACUCAGAACUGGGUGCUGUGGAGUGCUAAAUCAGACUGGUCGUCUGGUAGAGUCAAAGACGACUGAAUCCUCAGAGGAACAUUAUGGUUGGUGCAGUAUAUCACACAGUCCUAGAAAUUAGUGAUAUAAAGUAUUUCCGUGGAGAAGACAGCCGUUUAGUGAGCAAUGCUCCAGGACUUGUCCAUCAAAACAAACUAAAACCAAAGUAGAAACACUCACUAUGGCGCUUAGAAUGGACUUUCAGAAUAUCUGUUUUAUGAUUAUGUUUAGAUUCUGUGUAGUCUAAAGUUUUUAUAUGUGAUGUUUCCUUUUCUAAACAUCUCAUACUGAUGUGAAAUUAGAGAAGCUGGUAGGAGGGUGAGGAAUCCAGAUGUGUUGUUUCUCUUUCCUCAUAUGAUAAAGAUCAGGAUCUAACUAGAUCUGAAAAACUAAAGAGGCACCAUUUGUCCCAAUUGGAAAGCCAGACUUCCUGGCAAUCAUAGUACAUGGAUUAAGCAGAAAUUGAAGAGCAGAGGAGAUACCAAGAAGUCCAUCCACCUGUUACAGAGGUGUGUGGCAGCCUAAGCGUGUGUGAGCUGUUCCAUGAAUCCAGAACAAAGAGGAAAACUUGAACCUAAGAAGAAAGAACACACUCAUCGGCUUGGCGUGGUGCUUGAUUUAAUCAGACACUUUAUCUUAAGGGUAUAUGUUUAGGUUGAAAACAAAUUAUUUGAGCAGUUCUGAUGUGCAGUAUAUGGUUCAGACAAUGACAUAAUUUUUGAAUAUUGAGUUCCUUUCCCGCAGCCUUGGUUUUCCUAAUGGACAAACUAAUAGUGACUAUUUACUAACUAGGUAAUUCAAGGAAGUCGAGUUAGCAUAAAAUGAAAUUGCCUCACAAGUUUACCUGAUAGUGGUAAAACGUUACCAUUCUUAAUCUCUUAUUAUGACAUUAGAUCUAAAAAUUACAGUUGUAUUUCCAGUUGCUGCAGGAUAUGGCACGAAUCGGAUGUUAUGUGGGAGUGCUAUUUACCCCAAUUAAUUCAGCUCUUUUCUGCUCAUCUUCUGGUCUGGUGGAGUACUUCAUUUUCCGGGGGCUUGAAGAACACUUUCAGAAAAGGGCAUGGAAUAUAACAUUGUAGCUUGUUCCCCCCAAACAAAAAUUACUCUGGUAAAAUAGCUACUUAGAAGUUGUUUUCAUUUUAAAGUAAUCAUUUAAAAACAAAACAGAAUAACUGAAUUACUGUUGAUUUCAGUUUAGCUCCUUUGGCAUUGCAGAAUUAUAUUUUUGCUGCUACUAUAAGGGAAUAAUUUUUAAAGCAUUAUCUGGAAGUAGAAAUAUGUGUUUUAAGUGCUAGUCCAAAAUUAAAAGAAGAGCACUUUUUAAUACCAGUAAAGAGAGAGAGACGCAAAGUGGGGAGGGAUAGAGAAUCAGUCGGAAAACAUGAGAAGCGAAAGGAAACUGUUUACAUAGCAUCUGAUUUCUGAAUGACUCUGCUUUGUUCUUCCACAGAAACAGGAAGAAAUGUCACAUGGAAUCAUUAAAAUCAUAAAUUCUCCUAUCUUCUUGUGGAAAAAUUAUGCAGACUCUGACUGAAAAAUAAUGUGGUGACUAAAGCAGAAGAUUAGUGAGAACAUCAUUGCCUUUGAUUGUCCUUCAAUAUCACCUGUGGUUCUAAGGAAGUGGCAGAUCUGAAGAGCUGAAAUGUAAUGUAAUAUGCUGACUCGUUUGCCUGAUGGAUGUGUGACUGCCCUCUGUUGGAUGAAAUUAGAUCUGCUCUUAUAUGUUAGACUGUCUUGCCCUCUAGUGGUUUGUGCAGAAGAUAGUAAUGAAGACAUUGGAGAAUACUGCAUGAAGAAUCAGGACGAACACGUCUUGUCUUUUCGACUCUGUUCUCAUUGCAACAAACACAGGAAAGGAGAAGAAAGGGACACAGCCCCCGGGCUCACUUGUGAGGUGAGUGGAACCUGCAGAUCCAAGGGUUUCCCAGUCUGUAGACCUGCAGCCGGAAUUUGAAGAGUGUGUCAGCUUCCUGUGUAACCUUGGUUGUUUCUUUACCUUCACUUUGAAAGUAAGAUUGCAGCUCUUAUCUCAAAGAGUUGUUAUGAGGAAUAAUUGCACUGGUCUAGUGCAGUCCCUGAAACAUAUCUGCUAUUCAGUAAACAGAUUGAGCACCUUUUUCCCUUUUCUUUUAGAUUCCACCCCAAAUCACUUCAAUGCACUUUGUUCAAGGCACUAUUUGAAGCCUAAUGCCAAUGAUAUGCAAUUCUUUCUGCUAAUAUUUGGUAAUUGAUGGUCCAAAUCCCAGAGACUUGUGAAUAGACCUGAGGGCAUCAACUCUUAUAUCAAAGAUCAUAUUUAAUGUCAAAAUAGGAAUAAUGAUAGCUAACCUUUACGUGGCGUUUACUGUGUGCCAGGCACUGUUCUAAGCACUGUCCGUAUGUUCCCUCACUGAAUCCUCACAGCAAUCCUAUGAAGUAGGUAUUAUUAUUUUUCUUUUUAAGGCACAGGAAGAUUAAAACUUGCUCAAGGUCACACAGCCAAUAAUUGGUGAAGUUGGGAUUGGCGUAGCAGUGAUGCACUGACGCAGUACAUCUCAAAGUUAGAGGGAAUUUAUGAAGGCAGGAGCAAGAAGAGCACUGUAUCUUAUAUUUCAUUCAAGGUCAUAGACUCUGCAACAUGAACAACAAAAAAAGGAAGAAUAAAUAUUGGAGAGAAAAAUAUAAAAGCAUUCUUCUAUGUGGACAAUAUUGUCCUCUACAUAGAAAAAGCCAACACAAUCAACUGAAAAAUUAUGAGAAAUGCUAAAAUAGGUCAGUAAAGUGAUCUUAAAUCAAAGUACAAAAGCUAUUUUUUUAACAAACAAACAGCAAUUGAUUAAAAAUAUAAAAAAAUAUUUUCAUUCAAAAUAAGAAUAUAAAUUUUAAAGGAAUAAGAUUAAAACUUGUAAGAACAAUGUGCAAAACCUUAAUGCUGAAAAUAUAAAACUUUAAAGCUAGAUCAAAAAGAAGAUCUGAAUAAAUAAAGGUAUAUAUCACAUUUGUGGAUGUAAAAUCUCAAUAUUCUAGAAGAUUAAUUUUCAAAAUAAUCCUUAAAGUUAAUAUAAUAGUCAUGGAAUUUAGGAAAGAGUUUUUCAUGGGACAUGAAAUCCAACUCUAAAAUUCAUAUGGAAAAGAAGACAGAGAAGAAUAGUAAAAAUAGUUUUGAAGAAUGAUAGCAGUCCUAUCAGAUGUCAAAAUAUAAUUGAAAAAUGUAGUAAAUAAUAAGUUGAGAUAUUUAAAAGAACACAAAGGAGUAUCUAGAAAUGGACAUACAGAAAUUUAACGUACCAAAAACAUCUUUUCUGGUAAAAAAUAUGGACUAUUUAAUAAAAUGGAAUUGAGAUAAUUUUCUAUCUUCCAAGCAAAAUAAUACUUGGAUUCCUACCUUUGAAGAUUCACAUAAAUAUGUUUCAGAUGAACCAAAGACCAACGUAUAAAAACAAAAACAAACAAACAAAAAGGAAAGUCUAUAAAUAUAUUACAAGAAAACAAAAAAAUGUCUCACCUUAGAGCAGGGAAGGUAUUCUUUAAAAACAACAACAACAACAAAA
Equus caballus (horse) is the source of this 7574-nucleotide long non-coding RNA. RefSeq lists it as uncharacterized. NCBI's taxonomy places the organism in Eukaryota, Metazoa, Chordata, Mammalia, Perissodactyla, Equidae. The record is from RefSeq and is a predicted model, not a curated record.